AUAGCCCAUCUAUUUGUAUGAUAUUAGUCUAUCUAUUUAGUCGGCGUUGGAAACUAAAUUAUGUGAUAUUUUCAAAAAACUAUUUUCCUGAAAUUCAUAAGACACACAUUGAUUUCAUAUUAGAACUUUUUAUUUUAAGCAAGGAAGGCAAGGGAAGGCUAUACUCCACUGUCAUACCGAUACUCCGAUGAAGGGGUCCAAUCGUCAUCUUACUGAAUGUAAAGCCUUCAAUUUCUGCUUACUAUAGCACUCGCUUGUUCCAGUUAGAAUGAGUGUUCUAGUUGGACUAAGCAUAAAGUACAAUAGUACCAAAGCUUAUGGAAUUUAUUUUCUCUUCGAGUCUAUACAUUUAAAAAUCCAACCAUAAUAUGUCACUCAAUCAUUAUUCCAUUUAACAUUAAAUGUCUUUGUCAUUAAACAUAAGCUUAUUAAAAUGACAACCAGACUCCUGGAAUGACAUUUUGUGGACAUAUGCGCCAACGUUCAAUUCGUUUCUUGUGUGGCAUUGCAGUCAUGUUUUCAAUUGGUACAAUAUUAUUAUAUAUCCUAGCAUACACAUUAUAAAAUAUAAUCAUUUCUGAAGCCAUGCAGACAUUUCUGUAAGUGAAAUACAAAAGUUCAACUUGCAUUUUUUCUUUCGAAUUUAAAAAUGUAUUCCCAGAUGCUAAUCAAUAAAUGCUUUGCGACGCACGGACCGAAACUCUAUAUAUACAUAAGUAUUACUUCAUUGCCAGGCAGCUGAAUUUUACUCGUUGCCUGCAGCUUCGGACAGAAGAAAUAUAAAGCUGGAAAAAAACAAGCCAUUGACAAAAUAAUUAAAAAAUAGCCCCACAGCGCUGUCAAGAAGGACAGUCGCCUUGAAGUCGCACAACAAAACUAAUAAAAGACACAUUUUUCCCCUGAUGGAGCGAAAAAGAAAAUUAUCCAGACCGUUUGGCUUUUAAAAGACAGCAACGCAGCGGAAAACGCAGAUGAAAGAACUACAAGGGGCUGUGAGAACAUGAAUAAAUAAAAAUAAGUGCAGCAUGCCCACUUAAGAGAUGAGCAUGCAAUUUUAAAUAAGAAUUAAGAGCACAAAACUGUUCAACAAGCCAGAUGCAACGACACAAAAGUGGUCGUCCACGAGAGAGGGGAGGAUGAAAAGUCUUGCGUUUGAGGUACACAUUUCAUUGGCCCAUCGAACGGAACUUUUUCAUUCGGUCACUGCGGAGACAAUAAGCAACUGCUUGCGGUCUGAAACCUCUAAACGAAUCUUCAAUUACAAAAUUGAUUACCAUUGAAAAUUGAGAAUUAAGUACAGUUUUGAGUUUUCAGCAUAAUUGCAGCUGAUUUCUGUUGAGGGGCGAUCAAAGUGCACUGUCAUAAGACGUAAGUUGGAGUAAGAAGGGGCAAUUGUUCUGCUGUAUUUGCUUUGGGAAUAAUAAAAUCCAAGCAGUCACUAGCGGACAACCCGUCAAUUCGGUUUGGGCCCUGGAGAAGCAAUCAAGCUGGACCACAGUGGGAAAUUCUAGUAAGGCAAUAGGAGUGAGAUUGCGGCUAUAUUUUAUGUCCAUGUACAUUUUUUAUUUAUAUUUGUCGAUUUUUUAUUGAAAACCUGCCAAC
Drosophila melanogaster (fruit fly) is the source of this 1602-nucleotide non-coding RNA. Lineage: Eukaryota; Metazoa; Arthropoda; Insecta; Diptera; Drosophilidae. The record is from Ensembl.